Molecule: unclassified non-coding RNA, 887 nt
Filed under: Leishmania donovani
Lineage: Eukaryota; Euglenozoa; Kinetoplastea; Trypanosomatida; Trypanosomatidae
Description: gene:unknown
Source: RNAcentral
GGGCUGUUGGUGGUGUUUGUUUUCGUUGGAAAAGGCGUGGGUGUGUGUGGUUGGAGGGGUGGUGGGUGUUUUUGUUUGUUUUGGGGGAAUGUUGAGGGUAGCGCGCUUGAUUGUAGUAUGCGGUUUUUUUUUUGUGAGGAAGUUGAAGGUGGUACAGGGAGAAAGCGAAUGAGAUGCAGGUGAGGUUGUUGUUUUUGCUGAUUUUUCGUUGGUGAUGUACUUUAGAUGGUUUUGGUGGUUUGGAUGGAAUCAUUGUAGUGUUUGUUUUUGUGGUUUCUGGGGCGGACAGCCUUAUUCAUCUGUAACGGAGCGGGGAGUGGAGCAGUCUGAGGGUCCUGGGUUUGCUGUCGAGGUGAGCUGCUAUGCUGUGGUUUCGUGCUUGUGAUGUCUUGUUCGCGGUCGAUUCGGGGGGGGGGGGGUGGAGGGAAUGCACUUGCUUGGCUUUUGAGUCUCGUUAAUUGGUGAAUCGGGAGGUGAUUUGCUGUGGCGGGUUUGGUGUUAGACGAGUUCAGCAUCUGGGGCGGCCUCGAGGACGGCGCCUAGUGUGAUUAGGGCGGGCCUUUUUCAGUGGUGCAGUUGAUUAUUGGUGAGAUGCGAUGGUGUUCUUAUGGUUGCUGGCAACUUGUUGUUGUUCGUAAGAGGCGGGCGCUUAUUCUUGUGCUGCGUUUUUUGUGGAAAAGGGAGCCGUCACACAUGCUAGUGUGUUGUGUAGUGCCUUUGGCCGCGGAGAAACGGCGGCUGUAGGUUCUUGAUUUUCAAGGAAUAUGCUAGUGGACCCCAGAGCGCAUUUUUCCAUGGAUCAUGUCUCUUUCUCCGCUGCUGAAUAGGACUAGCUGUCGGCAGCAAUGCUUAUCGUGCAAGGGAGGCGAUAGCAGUGCGCUUACAAU